RNAcentral lists this ribosomal RNA (288 nucleotides) under uncultured bacterium. Its description in RNAcentral is "partial 16S ribosomal RNA". It matches the Rfam family "Bacterial small subunit ribosomal RNA", at positions 29 to 305 of the family's 1533-position model. The record is from RNAcentral.
AGCGAACGUUAGCGGCGGGCCUAACACAUGCAAGUCGAGCGAGAAAGUGGCUUCGGCCAUCAGUAAAGCGGCGGACGGGUGAGUAACACGUAGGUAAUCUUCCCUUGAGCGGGGACAACGUUUCGAAAGGAACGCUAAUACCGCAUACGUUCCCGGGAGCUCUUGGCCCCUGGGAGGAAAGCUAGGUCGCAAGAUCCGGCACUCGAGGAGGAGCCUGCGUCGCAUCAGCUAGUUGGUGGGGAACGGCCUACCAAGGCGAAGACGCGUAGCUGGUCUGAGAGGAUGAUC